This 265-nucleotide ribosomal RNA is filed under the name uncultured archaeon. Its description in RNAcentral is "partial 16S ribosomal RNA". It matches the Rfam family "Archaeal small subunit ribosomal RNA", at positions 719 to 982 of the family's 1478-position model. The record is from RNAcentral.
AGUCACUGACAUUAGAUACCCGGGUAGUCCAGGGUGUAAACGCUGCCGACUUGGUGUUGGAGGCCCUUCGGGGGCAUUCAGUGCCGGAGAGAAGUUGUUAAGUCGGCCACUUGGGGAGUACGUCCGCAAGGAUGAAACUUAAAGGAAUUGGCGGGGGAGCACCGCAACGGGAGGAGCGUGCGGUUUAAUUGGAUUCAACACCGUAAAACUCACCAGGGAAGACUGUUACAUGAAGGCCGAGAUGAAGACUCUGCUAGGUUUUCAG